UCCNCNUAUAGUUUGAUGCUGGCUCAGAUUGAACGCUGGCGGUAUGCUUAACACAUGCAAGUCGAACGGUAACAGACCGCUGUGAUCCCUUCGGGGUGAACUUGGUGCUGACGAGUGGCGGACGGGUGAGUAACGCGUAGGAAUUUACCCAGUAGAAGGGGAUAGCCCGGAGAAAUCCGGAUUAAUACCGUAUACGCCUAGCCUAGCUAGGGAAAGAGGGCCUCUCCUUGGAAGCUCUCACUAUUGGAUGAGCCUGCGUCCGAUUAGCUUGUUGGUGGGGUAAAAGCCUACCAAGGCGACGAUCGGUAGCUGGUCUGAGAGGAUGAUCAGCCACACUGGGACUGAGACACGGCCCAGACUCCUACGGGAGGCAGCAGUGGGGAAUAUUGGACAAUGGGCGCAAGCCUGAUCCAGCAAUGCCGCGUGUGUGAAGAAGGCCUGCGGGUUGUAAAGCACUUUCAGUAGAGAAGAAAAGCCUAGGGUUAAUAACCCUGAGUCUUGACGUAACCUACAGAAGAAGCACCGGCUAACUCAGUGCCAGCAGCCGCGGUAAUACUGAGGGUGCGAGCGUUAAUCGGAAUUACUGGGCGUAAAGCGAGUGUAGGCGGCUACGUAAGUCGGAUGUGAAAGCCCUGGGCUUAACCUGGGAAUUGCAUUCGAUACUGCGUAGCUAGAGUCUGAUAGAGGUAAGUGGAACUCCGGGUGUAGCGGUGAAAUGCGUAGAUAUCCGGAGGAACAUCAGUGGCGAAGGCGGCUUACUGGACCAAAACUGACGCUGAGGCUCGAAAGCGUGGGGAGCAAAC
This 803-nucleotide ribosomal RNA is filed under the name uncultured Gammaproteobacteria bacterium. RNAcentral's name for it is "bacterial SSU rRNA". It matches the Rfam family "Bacterial small subunit ribosomal RNA", at positions 1 to 773 of the family's 1533-position model. Lineage: Bacteria; Pseudomonadati; Pseudomonadota; Gammaproteobacteria. The record is from RNAcentral.